CGUGUAGGCGGUACCAUAAGUCAGAUGUGAAAGCCCUAGGCUUAACCUAGGAAUUGCAUUUGAGACUGUGGAACUAGAGAUCGAGAGAGGUAAGUGGAAUUACGAGUGUAGAGGUGAAAUUCGUAGAUAUUCGUAAGAACACCAGUGGCGAAGGCGACUUACUGGCUCGAUACUGACGCUAAGGCGCGAAAGCGUGGGAGCAAACA
Molecule: ribosomal RNA, 206 nt
Filed under: uncultured bacterium
Lineage: Bacteria
Description: partial 16S ribosomal RNA
Rfam family: Bacterial small subunit ribosomal RNA
Source: RNAcentral